CUUGCUAAGUUUGAUGGCGACCGGCGCACGGGUGAGUAACACGUAUCCAACCUGCCGAUAACUCGGGGAUAGCCUUUCGAAAGAAAGAUUAAUACCCGAUGGCAUAAUAGAACCGCAUGGUUUGAUUAUUAAAGAAUUUCGGUCAUCGAUGGGGAUGCGUUCCAUUAGGUUGUUGGCGGGGUAACGGCCCACCAAACCUUCGAUGGAUAGGGGUUCUGAGAGGAAGGUCCCCCACAUUGGAACUGAGACACGGUCCAGACUCCUACGGGAGGCAGCAUG
This 279-nucleotide ribosomal RNA is filed under the name uncultured bacterium. RNAcentral describes it as "partial 16S ribosomal RNA". It matches the Rfam family "Bacterial small subunit ribosomal RNA", at positions 76 to 353 of the family's 1533-position model. The record is from RNAcentral.